RNAcentral lists this ribosomal RNA (330 nucleotides) under uncultured bacterium. RNAcentral describes it as "bacterial SSU rRNA". It matches the Rfam family "Bacterial small subunit ribosomal RNA", at positions 568 to 898 of the family's 1533-position model. The record is from RNAcentral.
CGUGUAGGCGGUUCGUUAAGUCGGGUGUGAAAGCCCGGGGCUCAGCUCCGGAAGUGCGGCCCGAAACUGGCGAGCUGGAGCGCGGUAGAGGAGGGUGGAAUUCCUGGUGUAGCGGUGAAAUGCGUAGAUAUCAGGAGGAACACCGGCGGCGAAGGCGGCCCUCUGGACCGUUGCUGACGCUGAGACGCGAAAGCGUGGGGAGCAAACAGGAUUAGAUACCCUGGUAGUCCACGCUGUAAACGAUGGGUACUAGGUGUUCGGGUGUUGACCCCUGAGUGCCGACGCUAACGCAUUAAGUACCCCGCCUGGGACUACGGCCGCAAGGUUAAA